GUAAAACUUAUGGAAACGCGGAACACCGAGUGACAUGAAGAGUGUCACUCUGAUAUAUAUGUGAGAUACUGUAUGGCCUGGAAAACAAUAUAUAAAGGAUAAUGAAUGAAUCGGUGAUGAACAUCAGUUGGUCUCAGUGUCUCUGUUUCAUCCUCCUGCUUCUUCAACUCACCACUGUCUCCACACAGGGUACAUAUUCUCCCGAA
Molecule: long non-coding RNA, 206 nt
Filed under: Scleropages formosus (Asian bonytongue)
Lineage: Eukaryota; Metazoa; Chordata; Actinopteri; Osteoglossiformes; Osteoglossidae
Description: lncRNA (ENSSFOG00015033322.1)
Source: RNAcentral